CAGGAAAGGAAACGAGAAAAAGAAAUGGACCAGGAGAGGAACACGAGGCAGAGGGAGAAAGAUCAAUUACGAAAAAUUACAGGCCAACAAAGCAGAAGAAGAUAAGGCUGAAGCUGUUGCUGAAGCAGAGACUAAAGUUGAGGCUGAAGUAGAUGCUAAAGAUGAGGUUGAAGCUGAGGCUGACCCUGAAGAAAGAAAGCCAGAAGGUGCUGAAACAGAGAACAGCACAUUCCUGGUAAACGGCAAUAAGACGGAGAAGACUGUUGAAAACAGUGGGAAUGGAAAUGAGAAAAAGAAAAGGACCAGGAGAGGGACACGAGGAAAAGGAAGGAAGAUAAAUUACAAAAAGUUCCAGGCCAACAAAGAAG
Pangasianodon hypophthalmus (striped catfish) is the source of this 368-nucleotide long non-coding RNA. RefSeq lists it as uncharacterized. NCBI's taxonomy places the organism in Eukaryota, Metazoa, Chordata, Actinopteri, Siluriformes, Pangasiidae. The record is from RefSeq and is a predicted model, not a curated record. The transcript is spliced from 3 exons.